This 553-nucleotide ribosomal RNA is filed under the name Equus caballus (horse). RNAcentral's name for it is "partial large subunit ribosomal RNA". It matches the Rfam family "Bacterial large subunit ribosomal RNA", at positions 1816 to 2597 of the family's 2925-position model. Lineage: Eukaryota; Metazoa; Chordata; Mammalia; Perissodactyla; Equidae. The record is from RNAcentral.
CACCUCUAGCAUCACCAGUAUUAGAGGCACCGCCUGCCCAGUGACACAUGUUUAACGGCCGCGGUACCCUAACCGUGCAAAGGUAGCAUAAUCACUUGUUCCUUAAAUAGGGACCUGUAUGAAUGGCUCCACGAGGGUUCAGCUGUCUCUUACUUUUAACCAGUGAAAUUGACCUGCCCGUGAAGAGGCGGGCAUGACACAGCAAGACGAGAAGACCCUAUGGAGCUUUAAUUAACUGAUUCACAAAAAACAACACACAAACCUAACCUUCAGGGACAACAAAACUUUUGAUUGAAUCAGCAAUUUCGGUUGGGGUGACCUCGGAGAACAAAACAACCUCCGAGUGAUUUAAAUCCAGACUAACCAGUCAAAAUAUAUAAUCACUUAUUGAUCCAAACCAUUGAUCAACGGAACAAGUUACCCUAGGGAUAACAGCGCAAUCCUAUUCCAGAGUCCAUAUCGACAAUUAGGGUUUACGACCUCGAUGUUGGAUCAAGACAUCCUAAUGGUGCAACCGCUAUUAAGGGUUCGUUUGUUCAACGAUUAAAGUCUU